RNAcentral lists this unclassified non-coding RNA (328 nucleotides) under uncultured fungus. Its description in RNAcentral is "partial contains small subunit ribosomal RNA, internal transcribed spacer 1, and 5.8S ribosomal RNA". The stretch from base 1 to 73 matches the Rfam family "Eukaryotic small subunit ribosomal RNA", at positions 1759 to 1831 of the family's 1831-position model. Lineage: Eukaryota; Fungi. The record is from RNAcentral.
UCAAACUUGGUCAUUUAGAGGAAGUAAAAGUCGUAACAAGGUUUCCGUAGGUGAACCUGCGGAAGGAUCAUUAAUGAGUUGUAAUGGGGUUUGAUGCUGGUGUCUAUCUUUUCCGGUGGAUGCAUGUGCUCGCCCUGGCAAUCCCAUUUCCCCAAACACCUGUGCACACAUUUUUCGAGGGAGUUCUGAGUUGAUUGGUUGCUCCCUUGAUCCCCCACACUAUACCACCUAUUAGAACUUUGAACGUGAUUUGUGCCGCAAGGCCUUUAAUUAUAAUACAACUUUUAACAACGGAUCUCUUGGCUCUCGCAUCGAUGAAGAACGCAGC